RNAcentral lists this ribosomal RNA (440 nucleotides) under uncultured bacterium. Its description in RNAcentral is "partial 16S ribosomal RNA". It matches the Rfam family "Bacterial small subunit ribosomal RNA", at positions 338 to 795 of the family's 1533-position model. The record is from RNAcentral.
ACUACGGGAGGCAGCAGUGGGGGAUAUUGCACAAUGGGGGAAACCCUGAUGCAGCGACGCCGCGUGAGUGAAGAAGUAUUUCGGUAUGUAAAGCUCUAGCAGCAGGGAAGAAAAUGACAGUACCUGACCAAGAAUCCCCGGCUAACUAAGUGCCAGCAGCCGCGGUAAUACGUAGGGGGCGAGCGUUAUCCGGAUUUACUGGGUUUAAAGGGAGCGUAGACGGUUAUGUAAGUCUGGAGUGAAAGUCCGGGGCCCAACCCCGGGAAGGCUUUGGAUACUGGGUACCUGGAGUACAGGAGGGGCAGGCGGAAUUCCUGGUGUAGCGGUGAAAUGCGUAGAUAUCAGGAGGAACACCGGCGGCGAAGGCGGCCUGCUGGACUGAAACUGACGUGGAGGCUCGAAAGCGUGGGGAGCAAACAGGAUUAGAUACCCUGGUAGUC